RNAcentral lists this ribosomal RNA (253 nucleotides) under uncultured bacterium. Its description in RNAcentral is "partial 16S ribosomal RNA". It matches the Rfam family "Bacterial small subunit ribosomal RNA", at positions 524 to 776 of the family's 1533-position model. The record is from RNAcentral.
GACAGAGGGUGCAAACGUUGUUCGGAAUUACUGGGCGUAAAGCGCGUGUAGGCGGCAAGGCAAGUCGGAUGUGAAAGCCCGCGGCUCAACCGUGGAAGUGCACUCGAAACUGCCUAGCUAGAGUCUCGGAGAGGAAGGUGGAAUGCUUGGUGUAGAGGUGAAAUUCGUAGAUAUCAAGCAGAACACCUGUGGCGAAGGCGGCCUUCUGGACGAUGACUGACGCUGAGACGCGAAAGCGUGGGGAGCAAACGGG